The sequence is a transfer RNA, 74 nucleotides long. It matches the Rfam family "tRNA". Rfam says of the family: Transfer RNA (tRNA) molecules are approximately 80 nucleotides in length. Their secondary structure includes four short double-helical elements and three loops (D, anti-codon, and T loops).
UCCGUCGUAGCUCAAUGGCAGAGCACUCGGCCGAUUACCGAGGGACCGCGGUUCGAUUCCGCGCGACGGGACCA